GGGCAUGUAGCUCAGCUUGGUUAGAGCGCUUGAUUCACAUUCAAGAGGUCCCUGGUUCGAGCCCAGGCAUGCCCACCA
This 78-nucleotide transfer RNA is filed under the name Candidatus Jacksonbacteria bacterium RIFCSPHIGHO2_02_FULL_44_25. RNAcentral's name for it is "tRNA-Val". It matches the Rfam family "tRNA". From Rfam's summary of the family: Transfer RNA (tRNA) molecules are approximately 80 nucleotides in length. Their secondary structure includes four short double-helical elements and three loops (D, anti-codon, and T loops). The record is from RNAcentral. Lineage: Bacteria; Candidatus Jacksoniibacteriota. RNAcentral also lists the same sequence under 5 other names.